This is a long non-coding RNA of Lacerta agilis (Sand lizard), 420 nucleotides long. RefSeq lists it as uncharacterized. The transcript is spliced from 4 exons. Lineage: Eukaryota; Metazoa; Chordata; Lepidosauria; Squamata; Lacertidae. The record is from RefSeq and is a predicted model, not a curated record.
CCAAGGAAGAUUUUCUAAUCCAGCUGUGGGAUAAUUAGUAUCCCGCACACAAUGAAAAAAUUAUGAACCACACAAGCACCUUCUGAACCACGUAAGGAACAUCUUGAUGUCACCAAAACAAGAUAUGGCAAUCCAGCUGUGGAAUACGUUGUAUUCUGCACCCAGACCCAGAGUGCAUAAAUAUGAACUGCCAAAGCACCUUCAGGGUGGAUCUUCCCAAUUUCCCACUUCCUGUCCUGCCAUGGCAUGGCACAAGUUGGAGGUACAUCGGAUGAGGUUUCAGGGACGGAUGUGAUACCAGGAGAAGAAAGGGAAGCCAAAACUCCAGGCAUUUCCCCUCUAUGGUCGGUGUUAGAGGAUACAUUUUUCAUGAAUGGCCGGAGUGCCUUUAUUAAUGGUUCAUUCAAUAAAGUCAAGAAG